Molecule: ribosomal RNA, 544 nt
Filed under: Aspergillago clavatoflava
Lineage: Eukaryota; Fungi; Ascomycota; Eurotiomycetes; Eurotiales; Aspergillaceae
Description: SSU rRNA
Rfam family: Bacterial small subunit ribosomal RNA
Source: RNAcentral
UUGGUCAAUGGCCGAAAGGCUGAACCAGUAACUUGGAAGAAUGGAAAUGUAUUAUAAUAUUAAUACAAUAACGAUUAAUUCGUAUAAAAUUCUAAAUAGGAUAAUGAUAAUGACAAUUUCCUAUUUAUAAGUCUUGACCAAAUUACGUGCCAGCAGUCGCGGUAAUACGUAGAAGACUAGUGUUAGUCAUCUUUAUUAGGUUUAAAGGGUACCUAGACGGUAAAUUAAACUCUAAAUGAGUACUUUUUUACUAGAGUUUUAUAAGAGAAGGUAGAAUUUCUGGAGUAGAGAUAGAAUACUUUGAUACCAGAAGGACUGAUAACGGCGAAGGCAACCUUCUAUGUAAAAACUGACGUUGAGGGACGAAGGCUUGGGUAGCAAUAAGGAUUAGAUACCCUAGUAGUCCAAGCAGAAAAUGAUGAAUGUCAUGGGCUAGAAAUAUAUUUAGCCUAUAAAUGAAAGUGUAAGCAUUCCACCUCAAGAGUAAUAUGGCAACAUAUAAACUGAAAUCAUUAGACCGUUUCUGAAACCAGUAGUGAAGUAU